CGUGGUGUAGUGGUUAGUGCAUCGGACUACUAACACAAAGGUUCCUGGUUCUAUUCCCGUUUGGGAUGAAAAUUUCAGGAACUCAAUUUUCGGCUCUCCCUUGACACCAUCUGCGAGUAUGGUCUUGAGGAAACGAUGAUAGUCCGUCGGAAGGGGACGAUAAAUGGCUGACCCGUGUUAAGAGAGAGUCAUAUCUCUUGCACGUUAAAGACACCCUUGUAGAUUUUGAAAAAGAGUAGGCUAAUGCCGCUACAAGGCAGCACUCGCACCCGCAAAGUGGAAAGGGAUUAAUAUAAGUUGUAAA
This 304-nucleotide long non-coding RNA is filed under the name Mytilus galloprovincialis (Mediterranean mussel). The record is from RNAcentral. Lineage: Eukaryota; Metazoa; Mollusca; Bivalvia; Mytilida; Mytilidae.